GACGAACGCUGGCGGCGUGCUUAACACAUGCAAGUCGUACGGUAAGGCCCUUUCGGGGGUCCACGAGUGGCGAACGGGUGAGUAACACGUGAGUAACCUGCCCACAACUUUGGGAUAACGCUAGGAAACUGGUGCUAAUACUGGAUAUGUGCUCCUGCUGCAUGGUGGGGGUUGGAAAGCUCCGGCGGUUGUGGAUGGACUCGCGGCCUAUCAGCUUGUUGGUGGGGUAGUGGCCUACCAAGGCGGCGACGGGUAGCCGGCCUGAGAGGGUGACCGGCCACAUUGGGACUGAGAUACGGCCCAGACUCCUACGGGAGGCAGCAGUGGGGAAUAUUGCACAAUGGGCGCAAGCCUGAUGCAGCAACGCCGCGUGCGGGAUGACGGCCUUCGGGUUGUAAACCGAUUUCAGCAGGGACGAAGCUUUUUGUGACGGUACCUGCAGAAGAAGCACCGGCUAACUACGUG
This 465-nucleotide ribosomal RNA is filed under the name uncultured bacterium. RNAcentral describes it as "partial 16S ribosomal RNA". It matches the Rfam family "Bacterial small subunit ribosomal RNA", at positions 28 to 507 of the family's 1533-position model. The record is from RNAcentral.